AGAGUUUGAUCCUGGCUCAGGACUAACGCUGGCGGCGUGCCUAAUACAUGCAAGUCGAACGGGAGUAUUAGUUAGCUUGCUAACAAAGUACUCUAGUGGCGGACGGGUGAGUAACACGUGGGAAUCUGCCUUUUACUGGGGGAUAACAGUGGGAAACCACUGCUAAUACCGCAUAAGAUCUUCGGAUGAAAGGUGCAACUGCAUCGGUAAAGGAUGAGCCCGCGCCCCAUUAGCUAGUUGGUGAGGUAAUAGCUCACCAAGGCGACGAUGGGUAACCGGCCUGAGAGGGUGACCGGUCACACUGGGACUGAGAUACGGCCCAGACUCCUACGGGAGGCAGCAGUAGGGAAUCUUCCGCAAUAGGCGCAAGCCUGACGGAGCGACGCCGCGUGAGUGAAGACGGCCUUCGGGUUGUAAAGCUCUGUUCUUGAGGAAGAAUAAGCUAGAGAGUGGAAAGCUCUAGUGAUGACAGUACUCAAGGAGAAAGCCCCGGCUAACUACGUGCCAGCAGCCGCGGUAAUACGUAGGGGGCAAGCGUUGUCCGGAAUUAUUGGGUGUAAAGGGCGCGUAGGCGGUUUCUUAAGUCAGGUGUGAAAGACUGGGGCUCAACUCCGGUUGUGCACUUGAAACUGGGAGACUUGAGUGUGAGAGAGGAAAGUGGAAUUCCCCGGUGUAGCGGUGAAAUGCGUAGAUAUCGGGAGGAACACCAGUGGCGAAGGCGACUUUCUGGCUCACAACUGACGCUCAGGCGCGAAAGCUGGGGGAGCGAACAGGAUUAGAUACCCUGGUAGUCCACGCCGUAAACGAUAAUUACUGGGUGUAGGGGGUAUCGACUCCCUCUGUGCCGAAGCUAACGCGAUAAGUAAUCCACCUGGGGAGUACGGCCGCAAGGCUAAAACUCAAAGGAAUAGACGGGGGCCCGCACAAGCAGUGGAGUAUGUGGUUUAAUUCGAGGCAACGCGAAGAACCUUACCAGGGUUUGACAUCCCGCGCUCGGGGUAGAGAUACCUUUUUCCCUUCGGGGACGCGGAGACAGGUGGUGCAUGGUUGUCGUCAGCUCGUGUCGUGAGAUGUUGGGUUAAGUCCCGCAACGAGCGCAACUCUUAUCGCUAUUUGCCAUCAUUAAGUUGGGGACUAUAGCGAGACUGCCAGCGACAAACUGGAGGAAGGUGGGAAGGACGUCAAAUCAUCAUGCCCCCUAUGGUCUGGGCUACAAACGUGAUACAAUGGUUGGUACAAAGGGAGGCAAAGUCGUGAGACCAAGCGAACCCCAUAAAACCAAUCUCAGUUCGGAUUGAAGUCUGCAACUCGACUUCAUGAAGUCGGAAUCGCUAGUAAUCGUAGAUCAGAACGCUACGGUGAA
RNAcentral lists this ribosomal RNA (1363 nucleotides) under uncultured bacterium. Its description in RNAcentral is "16S ribosomal RNA". It matches the Rfam family "Bacterial small subunit ribosomal RNA", at positions 8 to 1366 of the family's 1533-position model. The record is from RNAcentral.